RNAcentral lists this ribosomal RNA (595 nucleotides) under Blastococcus saxobsidens. Its description in RNAcentral is "partial 23S ribosomal RNA". It matches the Rfam family "Bacterial large subunit ribosomal RNA", at positions 564 to 1148 of the family's 2925-position model. Lineage: Bacteria; Bacillati; Actinomycetota; Actinomycetes; Geodermatophilales; Geodermatophilaceae. The record is from RNAcentral.
CUACAAGCCGUGAGAGCCUUAUCCACUUCGGUGGAGGGGUGAUUGCGUGCCUUUUGAAGAAUGAGCCUGCGAGUUAGCGGUACGUGGCGAGGUUAACCCGUGUGGGGUAGCCGUAGCGAAAGCGAGUCCGAACAGGGCGACAUAGUCGCGUGCCCUAGACCCGAAGCCGAGUGAUCUACCCAUGGCCAGGUUGAAGCGCGGGUAAGACCGCGUGGAGGACCGAACCCACCAGGGUUGAAAACCUGGGGGAUGAGCUGUGGGUAGGGGUGAAAGGCCAAUCAAACUCGGUGAUAGCUGGUUCUCCCCGAAAUGCAUUUAGGUGCAGCGUCACGUGUUUCUUGCCGGAGGUAGAGCACUGGAUGGCCGAUGGGCCCCACAAGGUUACUGACGUCAACCAAACUCCGAAUGCCGGUAAGUGAGAGCGUGGCAGUGAGACUGCGGGCGAUAAGGUUCGUAGUCGAGAGGGAAACAGCCCAGAUCAUCGGCUAAGGCCCCUAAGCGUGUGCUAAGUGGAAAAGGAUGUGGGAUCGCAGAGACAACCAGGAGGUUGGCUUAGAAGCAGCCACCCUUGAAAGAGUGCGUAAUAGCUCACUGG